UUGCAUUAAAAUUUUUAACAUCUUAUAUUAUAAUCUAUAUUAUUAAUUAAUCAAAAUCAAUGCUUUAAAGUCUCAAACCUUUUUUAAUUUAAGAGGCUCCUGCAACACAUGCAACUGAUUAUGUGAUAUGCAAUAUCACAGCAUUGAGAUGAGGUUUUUGAUAUAUAUUUUUAAAACAACCUGAGCUGUGACAAAGACGGCUGCACAAGAAACAGAACCUCACUGUUAAGAGAGCUGCAUCAAAAGUAGUUUCUUGGGCCAUCGGGUCUCCAUAACAAUAAUUUAUAAUUUAUUUAUUUAAUUGUGGAAAGCACUGUAUAGAAAAGAUGCACUGAUGCACAUGACCAAGCUGAACUAGCCAAUGAUAUUGAUCUAUACUCGUCAGAAAAACAUUUACUGUGAAACAGGAGAUGAUUAAGUCGAGCUGUAUCGUUUAUCACGCAAAGAAAAACUUACUUCAGGGUACAAAAAUAAAAUGACAGCACACACCCUGCCCCAGUUGUACACAACAGUAACGUUGAAACGCUGUACUAUCGCUGCAGGCUCGGUGGAUUUUCAUUGUUACUCCUCACUUGUGUUUCGGUGGCUUCGUUUAACUUGGAGACCAGUCAGACAAGUUAGGGGCAACGUCUGGCAAAAUAACUUGUGGUAUGUGAUUCCUGUUACACAGCAUGAUGGUUUGCAUGCACACUAAUACAAUCUGACAGGUCUUUACAACAAAAAAAUGAAAAGGGAAUUGUAUUACAGUAAUGAGGUAAAUAAAAAUAGCUACCCCAGCUUACUUAAACAAUGUAUCACAUGAGCAUUUCCCAAACAAACUGAUAAUGUCAUCUCCCCUGUAAGUGCUAAAACACCCCUUCUAAACACGCUUUAGAUUACACGUAUGAUUAACAUGUAAGUUCAUUCAUUGUUUUAAAAGGAAUGGUUGUUUUUUGUUGUUGUUUUUUUACAUGAGGUUGUGUCUAAAGUUUAUUAGUUACCAUCUUGUGUGCUCUCUUGGCACACUAAUUAAGUAUAAAUACAGAUUCGUUGACUUUGGAGAACAGUUAGUCUGAGAGGAGCCAAGGUGUUUGGCUUGGGUGGUUAUAUAUAAUGUACACAGAAGCUGACAAAUAUUUACUUAGAAAAUUAAGCUUGGCGGUGGUACGCCACCAACGAUCUUCCGGUGUCAAACACAUACUCAGCACAGAACAUGUAAAGCUUUCCUGGUCAAAGCAUCUGUCUAACAGAAAAGUGGGGCUAUGCAAAAGUUCAUAAAAAAUUGUUUUUAUACUACUUUACUGUUAGUUAGCUAGUUCAUUUGACCAGAGAAAUUAUUUACAAGCUACACUCUAAGAACAUGUUUCGCACAGGAACAUCAUCAGUGUUGCACAGCCUCCAAACUUCUUUUUUUAAAAUUUCUUUUAUUGGUUUAUUUAAUGUGAACAUGGUGACAGUUUACAGGUUCCUAAAAUAGCAUUAUUGUUAUAACCAUUUACAGUUUUUCUAAUGUCAAAUAACACUCCUGAUGUUAUUUGCACAUCUAACGUACUUUUUGUACAUUUUUUUGUUGUUGUUGCAAUUCUUGUAAAUAGUCUGUUAUGCACAGAUUUACGUACACGUUUUGUAUAUAUUUUUUAUUUAUUUAACUCUGUUACACAUUUCUUUGAGUCAGAGUACACCAUUUUUAUUAGCUUUAUUAUGUGUGUGUAAAUCUGCAUGCUCUGACUUACAGAUUUACACCUUGCUGGAGGUAAGCCUGAAUAUCCCCCUGAGGAACAAUAAAGUUUACUUCAAUUCCGCUAUGUUCUAUUCUGUCCUUUAAACCUUAACAUCAUUUUUGAGUCAAGAGUCCACUUCUUAGACAAGCAGUUAGUUUCAGUCUCUGGGUGUAGCUAAUGUAGAUUUCUAAAUAUAAAGUGAAUUAACUACAAGAGCUAAGAAAUAACCUACCUAUCUGCUUUUAAUAGAACUUCACCUAAAAAUCUUGAACUGUCCCUUUAAAGAUAAACGACAAUGUGACACAGCCUUAAAAUUAUAUAAAAGGCAACAACAAGAUGAUUUUUUUUUUUUUUUUAACAUCACAUAUAUCAGAUCUAAACUUGGAAUCCAGAACUUUCUGUUUUGCUUGGGUGUAAAUGUAGAUAGCGGCCCGUUUCUUUUAGCAUGAAGACCGAAGCGGAUUGUAAAAUUACACACAGUGAAGAAAAUGGAGAGGGAGGUCAACAAAGCCUCCAAAACCCAAUGGUAGAGAACUGCGGCAAAGAAUGGCAUCGUGGGAGCUGCCAAGUCCCCAUAACAAUCAUUUAGAUGUUAUCUAUAUGCAAACUAGUUAUUGGGGCUGUAUGUCAGAAUAAAUCACUUCCUGUCCCACCAUCACAAGAAUAACAGUUACAUUUAGCUAAACUCUACAAGGCCUUUAACUGCAAUGAGCAUUUUAAGCAACACACACAUUUUUUGGCAAAAAUAGUUUGAAUAUGAAGGAAAACAUCUCAAGCAUAUAAGUACAGUAGAGGUUCUGUGAUCCUGUGGGCCUGUUUCUCUUCCACAGUCCAAAGGACUAUAUUUGAAAUAUCAGGUUAAAAAAACUGGAUGACUUUACCAAAAAAAUCCAAAUAAGUAGACAGUGUGGUUUUAAGCGGUAUAUUGGUUGGAGGCAUAAGUUCAAACGAACACAAAGUGAAAUUAGUCAUCUUCCAUACAGUACACGUGUUAGUCUUGCUGCUAGCUUUACUCCACAGAUAAAUGUUAUAAAAGAAACAAUACGAUCAAUGAGUAUCAGACGACAUUUUUUUUUAUGGAAAAAGAAAGGGAACAGACAUGUUCUGUUAGACAUCUGCCCCGCAAAAGAGACGCUGUGCCGAAAACUCCAGUCUGUCCGCCCCGACCGUAAAGCCACCCUUCCAGUUCAGUAUGCAUAGACAACCCGGGUGACUUGUCCGAAGAGCAAAGCCAACAUGCAGAACUCCAACACCAACCCAAAUGAUGAUCAUUUGAUGAAACCGAACCAGCGUAGCGUGAAAACAGCGACACGAAACCACAGCUGGUCUCCAAAGACGCCCAGCUGAAAACUGGCGAGAAGCGCAUUUACCGAGUUUUAAAAACGUCACAUCGUAGUGUGCCAACUUUGUCUGCUAUAUUACAAAGAAACUUUUAAAAAAGGACACCCCCCAACAUCAGCAGGCGGCUGUUUUUAUUGCCUAGCCAAACAUGUCGCCGCGUCUGUUUUACCUCCCGAUCCCUUCCUGGACUGUUGCAGAGCAACACCGGCUGCCCCCGUAACCCUCUAGCGGCGCGGACCGCUUCAAUGCCCGGCGUGCCUGCGUAGGAGACUCCGCAGAGCAACCAUGUUUCCUCGCACCGGCCACGGUUGUCAAAACCCACGUUGCUCCCUCGAUAGCGCCUCUGGUCGCGAGUAGAGGUCGUUAAGGCGUCAUGGUGAAAGCUACAGGAGGUUUUUUCUUAAAUAGAAAGGCGAGGAUGGUGCGAAACAGUGGAGCAAUAAGCGAGGUCAGUUGGCUACUGCGAGUUGGAGGCCAUAAAUUGGACCAUGAUGACAAGGGAGGUUCAGCACCAUGGACAGCAGCGCUGCCCACUCCUGUUUUAAAGGAAAGGUGGGAAUAUUGGCUCUAAACUCCUGCGGUGCAUUACCUACAAACGGACGUUUAUGUGCACAGCAUGUGUGAAGAAAAUUUAUGCUACCUUUUAGCAAUUUUUUUUUUUUGUUAUUAAAGAAUGUGCUAAACCAGAGGAUGUAAAAGUUUAUCUUAAACACCACGGGCAUGCAAAAAGCUUGAAAUUAUUUAGAAGCUAAACAUUAUUUUAGACUCACGUGACAUUUGACAUUUAAAACGACAAUUACCAAGCGCUUUGUCUUCAUAUUUCAUAUUUGUAGGUACUUGGCCUGGCAAAAGCUAUCGCAUACAUAUGUGUGCGUUUGUGAGCGUCAAUGGCUGAAUGUGGCUCUAUUGUGAAGAGCUUUGAGUGUUCAAAAUGACUGAAAAAGUGCUGGGCAAGUUACAUCCAUUUGUCAAGACCAUUUACACGAAAAAGAAAAUGACUAUGUUUUGUUUACAAUGCAGACUCUUUAAUUAUUGCCUGAUUUGUUUUGUGUAUUUCAUUCUAAAAAGGUUGGAACGAUGGCAGUCCAAGAGUGGGGAGUUUUGAUUUGGAACAGACAUUCCACUUAAUUUGAAUAGAAAAUGUCUGAAGAAGUUUAAACUUGAGGGAAAAAAAGCAUGAGCCGAUAUUGCAAAUAGUCUUCAAAGAAAACAAUAUGUACCGCAUCAUAAAGGGAUUGUAGAAUUGCUGAAGAACGUAUUGAAAUGCAUAUCUGCAACCCUAAACUGUCAUCAGUAUUUUAAGCUUUAUAGCCAUACUUCUCAGCAACACGUGGAAGUCAGGCUCUUUUUUUCCCCCCAAAGAUUAAGUAAGACCACAUCCUGUGUUCGUUGAAGACAACAUGCGCAUAGAAAACUAAGAUGGUUUUAAUAUUAAAAUCCUAAAUCUAGUGCCACAGAAAAUAUUCUAUGUAACAUCCUGCUGAAUUUGUCUCUGAAAAUAUUCAUAUUUGCACAAACACACAUAAAGUUAAUAAACAUUGUGGUUUCAACACAA
Xiphophorus hellerii (green swordtail) is the source of this 4596-nucleotide long non-coding RNA. RefSeq lists it as uncharacterized. NCBI's taxonomy places the organism in Eukaryota, Metazoa, Chordata, Actinopteri, Cyprinodontiformes, Poeciliidae. The record is from RefSeq and is a predicted model, not a curated record. The transcript has 2 exons.